GACGAACGCUGGCGGCGUGCUUAACACAUGCAAGUCGAACGGAAAGGCCCUGCUUUUGUGGGGUGCUCGAGUGGCGAACGGGUGAGUAACACUUGAGUAACCUGCCCUUGACUUUGGGUUAACUUCAGGAAACUGGGGCUAAUACCGGAUAGGAGCUCCUGCUGCAUUGUGGGGGUUGGAAAGUUUCGGCGGUUGGGGAUGGACUCGCGGCUUAUCAGCUUGUUGGUGGGGUAGUGGCUUACCAAGGCUUUGACGGAUAGCCGGCCUGAGAGGGUGACCGGCCACAAUGGGACUGAGAUACGGCCCAGACACCUACGGGAGGCAGCAGUGGGGAAUAUUGCACAAUGGGCGGAAGCCUGAUGCAGCAACGCGGCGUGCGAGAGGACGGCCUUCGGGUUGUAAACCGCUUUCGCCUAUGACGAAGCGAGAGUGACGGUAAUGGGUAAAGAAGGACCGGCUAACUACGUG
This 468-nucleotide ribosomal RNA is filed under the name uncultured bacterium. Its description in RNAcentral is "partial 16S ribosomal RNA". It matches the Rfam family "Bacterial small subunit ribosomal RNA", at positions 28 to 507 of the family's 1533-position model. The record is from RNAcentral.